Molecule: long non-coding RNA, 474 nt
Organism: Nothobranchius furzeri (turquoise killifish)
Lineage: Eukaryota; Metazoa; Chordata; Actinopteri; Cyprinodontiformes; Nothobranchiidae
Source: RefSeq, a predicted model, not a curated record
UAAAGAGCGGGUCAAUUGAGCCUCGGAGUCCUUCUCCACCCACGUAUCAAUUUUAAAAAAUGCAACAUUAGUAGGCGUUGCCUGGAGGACCGAGAGGGCGGAGCCGCGGCAGUGACGAAGACGAUGGCUAACUAGACGAAGCUAGCUCCCUUCACUCUGAGCAGUUGAUAGAAGUGGAGGACGUUUCUCCCCCUCCUUACAGACACUCGAGAAGAAAGGGACCAAGUCUAUUUGGAGGAGACAAGCGGACCUGAGUCUUAUUGUUUUGAGCUUGUGAGUUGCCUGAAACUCCCAGAACCGACCCAACAGAAUCACCUCUGAAAGGUCCUCUGGUGUCUGCAGCUGGUCUCUGGUGUCUGCAGCUGGUCUCCUCUGCUGGUGUCCUCAGGAUCAGGAACUUCCAGAAGAAUGUGCCUUUCAAUGACUCUUUCCCCCUUAUUUGUUAUAUUAAUUAAAUAAAUCUCAAUUUAUAUA